Molecule: small RNA, 892 nt
Filed under: Caenorhabditis elegans
Lineage: Eukaryota; Metazoa; Nematoda; Chromadorea; Rhabditida; Rhabditidae
Description: Unclassified non-coding RNA F47F6.16
Source: RNAcentral
GCCCGUCUGAUAUGAGCUACAUGACGUUUGAUUUCAUCAGUCACCCCAUCGAAUCACAACUCGACGACAUUCAGCAAUUCAUUAUAGAAGAGGGCGAAAUAAUCAAGAGCGACACUGGUGAAUUGACUGUCUACAAAUUGGGUGGCCGUUAUUCCAAUGUGUUUGUUUAUGAGAACAAUUGUAGAUUCAACUUUAUUAGUGUGGAGUGGGUCUUAAAAUCGGCCAAAUGAACUAUAGCACAAAUUACAGAGGAAGCCUGUCGAAUUCUUUGCACAAUAAUUAUUUAACUGCAACAAAUGGAUUGAUUGAUUCGAGUUUUGAAAUUCCACCGCAAUCUCGUGUUAUACUAGAAGUAGUCUCGUGCGAAUGGGAAUAUUUCAGUGCCAAUUUCAAUAUUGAGGUGAGCUUCUUUACAAAUCUGGGAGCGCAAUACAAAGACUGUAAGAGCAGUGUGAGGGAACCCGAACAACAAAAGAUUUUAUAUUUAUUAUGGGGCUUUGAUAUGUUAUGAUAUUCGUUGGGUAGAGGAAGGCAACUGGUGAUCACACUAACAAAUAAGCUUCUUCAUAUCAUAUGUAAACGUAUCAUUAGGGUCCCGUAACUGCAAUGGUACCGAAAGGGUAUCAUAAGAAGACAGCGAAAGGCACUAUGAGAUCGUUAUAAGGCCCGUUAGAGUAGUGUAUCAAAACCAGAAUUCAAACCUAACUUUUUUCAGUUCAAAGUUCUUCCCUUUAUGUGGACUGUUUGUUACUGGUUCGCGCCACUUGUGGAAUAUUUUGUUCCUGAAUCUUCGUUCAACUACUCGUUUCAAACUCCAGUCGUGAUCAAAAAGCGACAGGAUCACAGAUGGACAAUUGAGGAAAAGACCAAGAAGGAUUGAACUUUAUUUACA